Molecule: transfer RNA, 71 nt
Filed under: Longispora fulva
Lineage: Bacteria; Bacillati; Actinomycetota; Actinomycetes; Micromonosporales; Micromonosporaceae
Also listed under: 4 other names
Rfam family: tRNA
About the family: Transfer RNA (tRNA) molecules are approximately 80 nucleotides in length. Their secondary structure includes four short double-helical elements and three loops (D, anti-codon, and T loops).
Source: Rfam by way of RNAcentral
GCGGGUGUAGCUCAAUGGCAGAGUUUCUGCUUCCCAAGCAGACGGCGCGGGUUCGAUUCCCGUCACCCGCU